CGCCCAUUAAAGCGGUACGCGAGCUGGGUUCAGAACGUCGUGAGACAGUUCGGUCCCUAUCCGUCGUGGGCGUAGGAAAUUUGAGAGGAGCUGUCCUUAGUACGAGAGGACCGGGAUGGACAUACCUCUGGUGUACCAGUUGUCGUGCCAACGGCAUAGCUGGGUAGCUAUGUAUGGACGGGAUAAGUGCUGAAAGCAUCUAAGCAUGAAGCCCCCCUCAAGAUGAGAUUUCCCAACUUCGGUUAUAAGAUCCCUCGAAGAUGACGAGGUUAAUAGGUUCGAGGUGGAAGCGUGGUGACACGUGGAGCUGACGAAUACUAAUCGAUCGAAGACUUAAUCAAUUUUUAAA
This 349-nucleotide ribosomal RNA is filed under the name Staphylococcus sp. HMSC062D04. RNAcentral describes it as "bacterial LSU rRNA". It matches the Rfam family "Bacterial large subunit ribosomal RNA", at positions 2582 to 2925 of the family's 2925-position model. Lineage: Bacteria; Bacillati; Bacillota; Bacilli; Caryophanales; Staphylococcaceae. The record is from RNAcentral.